ACUGGGAUCAGCACUGGCCCCUGGCAGGCAGGCGGCAGCCAGGUGGGGUUAUAGCCAGAGCACGCACGCACGGAGCCGGGAGCAUGCAGCCUGCACUGCGGGGGAUGUGAUGCUCGGCUCUAACUCGCCUGGCUGGCCCGCGACGGACGCCUCAGCUUGCAACCAUGGUAACGUUUCUGGCGGGGGACACCCCCGGGAGCCCACUGCGAUGGGCAGCCUCCUGGUGACUGAUGGACGAGUGUCCACCUCCCUGACCGAGAGCGCUUAGUAGGUCGGAGGAAGUGGAGAGGAUGUAACACGCCCCCAGCCGGGAGUGAAGCCCUGAGGAGCUCCUCCCCCCUUCGUUCCCACCCUCAAGUCUGACGAUGACACCUCCAAUUUUGAUGAACCAGAGAAGAAUUCGUGGGUUUCAUCCUCUCCGUGCCAGCUGAGCCCCUCAGGUUUCUCGGGUGAAGAACUGCCGUUUGUGGGGUUUUCGUACAGCAAGGCACUGGGGAUUCUUGGUAGAUCUGAGUCUGUUGUGUCGGGUCUGGACUCCCCUGCCAAGACUAGCU
RNAcentral lists this small RNA (554 nucleotides) under Pan troglodytes (chimpanzee). RNAcentral describes it as "processed transcript". The record is from RNAcentral. Lineage: Eukaryota; Metazoa; Chordata; Mammalia; Primates; Hominidae.